RNAcentral lists this microRNA precursor (101 nucleotides) under Paeonia lactiflora (Chinese peony). RNAcentral describes it as "miR11611 stem-loop (pla-MIR11611)". Lineage: Eukaryota; Viridiplantae; Streptophyta; Magnoliopsida; Saxifragales; Paeoniaceae. The record is from miRBase by way of RNAcentral.
ACUGUGGGAGAUAUUUUACCACGGUAGAGACCAACCGUGGUUAAAAUUUCUUGAUAUUUACCACGGUUGUAGGCAACCGUGGUAAAAUGUCCACCCAAUUU